RNAcentral lists this unclassified non-coding RNA (327 nucleotides) under Hevea brasiliensis (rubber tree). Lineage: Eukaryota; Viridiplantae; Streptophyta; Magnoliopsida; Malpighiales; Euphorbiaceae. The record is from RNAcentral.
GGCGUCUCUCUUCUCACCAUCUUAAACAUGUAGAAAAUCAGAAACACCAAAAUCGCUUGCAGCUCCCGGCAAAGGAGAAGAUGUGUGAUUUUAUAGUAAAGGAUAUGAUUUGCGGAGCUUCGAAUUACUAUAUAGGAAAAGAAGGCUAGAAAAUGAGAGAGAUAGUAGGGCUCUGUCACCAAUAGAUUCAGCCAUUCCCCCGGUCGAAAGUCGGUCCGCUCCUUCUUCUUACCCACCAUGGCGAUUCACUGUAUCAGACUUGUGGAUCGAAGAGGUAACAGAAUGGAACACCGAUGAUCACAACGCCGUGGAAGAUGCUGUCGGUUG